Long non-coding RNA from Salvia splendens (bonfire salvia), 647 nucleotides. RefSeq lists it as uncharacterized. The transcript is spliced from 3 exons. The record is from RefSeq and is a predicted model, not a curated record. Lineage: Eukaryota; Viridiplantae; Streptophyta; Magnoliopsida; Lamiales; Lamiaceae.
AUGAUCGGCGAAACUUUUGAAGAUAUAGACAGGAAUAAUUUUGCCUUAAACUAGAAUUUAAAUGCUAAAUGAUGAUAUAAAGAGUUCCUAAAUGUGAUAUCAUAUGAUAGGGCAAUAAAAUGUUACAAGAUAAUUAAUUUAUUUAAAAACUAACUAAAUAAUUAAAUAAUGAUUAGAAUUCUCUAGAGAAUUUUUUGUCUAUCAUCAACUCCAAACCCCCCCUCAUUUCAGCCACAAGCACGUCCUCCCCCUCUCCAUGGAAGACCAAAAGCUUAAGCUUUUUAAUUUCCAAAUAUUUGUCAUUUAAUCGGUAAAUCGAUCGGGUAAUCUUGUAUCCGCCAGCAAAUCGAGCGAAGGAGCAUAUAGUGCGUUUUGAUCACAAAGGAGUGGAUUUAGAGGGUAGAGAAGUAUCAAUGUGAAACAGGCUUAUGUUCAUAAGCCUGCGAGGUUAGAGUCGACAUUAUGUCAGUGGUGUUGCGCAGCUUUGCAUCUUUGGCGAGUCACUGGUGGUCAACUUGGUUUAGUAGUCGUGGCAUGUUAUGUAAUAGUUUAAUCUUUAACCUUCCGCUGGAUAAAUGUUAAGUUUUUAAAUGUAAUAGAUUUUAAUUAUGCUUUUAAGCUAAAAAGAAAAAGGAAAAAUUUCAGCA